Molecule: ribosomal RNA, 231 nt
Filed under: uncultured bacterium
Lineage: Bacteria
Description: partial 16S ribosomal RNA
Rfam family: Bacterial small subunit ribosomal RNA
Source: RNAcentral
UGGGUGAUCUGCCCUGCACUUUGGGAUAAGCCUCGGAAACGGGGUCUAAUACCGGAUAUCACUCCUUUCUUCAUGGUUUGGGGUUGAAAGUUCUGGCGGUUGGGGAUGGGCUCGCGGCCUAUCAGCUUGUUGGUGGGGUAAUGGCCUACCAAGGCGUCGACGGGUAGCCGGCCUGAGAGGGCGACCGGCCACACUGGGACUGAGACACGGCCCAGACUCCUACGGGAGGCA